UACGAAGGGGGCUAGCGUUGUUCGGAAUUACUGGGCGUAAAGCGUGCGCAGGCGGCUUCUCAAGUCAGGGGUGAAAGCCCAGAGCUCAACUCUGGAAUUGCCUUUGAGACUGAGUGGCUUGAGUACGGGAGAGGUGAGUGGAAUUCCCAGUGUAGAGGUGAAAUUCGUAGAUAUUGGGAAGAACACCGGUGGCGAAGGCGGCUCACUGGCCCGUAACUGACGCUCAUGCACGACAGCGUGGAGAUCAAACAGG
This 253-nucleotide ribosomal RNA is filed under the name uncultured bacterium. RNAcentral describes it as "partial 16S ribosomal RNA". It matches the Rfam family "Bacterial small subunit ribosomal RNA", at positions 524 to 776 of the family's 1533-position model. The record is from RNAcentral.